GCUAAACGCGAAGAACCUUACCCAGGCUUGACAUCCUUGGAAAGCAUCCGAAAGGAUACUGUGCCCUUGGGAACCAAGUGACAGGUGUUGCAUGGCCGUCGUCAGCUCGUGUCGUGAGAUGUUUGGUUAAGUCCAUCAACGAGCGCAACCCUUUUAGUCUGUUGUAUUUUUCAGGCUAGACUGCCCUGGCAACAGGGAGGAAGGAGGGGAUGAUGUCAGGUCAGUAUUACCCUUACGUCUGGGGCUACAAACACGCUACAAUGGCCGGUACAAAGGGCUGCCAAGUCGCGAGACGGAGCAAAUCCCAUCAAAGCCGGUCUCAGUUCGGAUAGCAGGCUGAAACUCGCCUGCUUGAAGCUGGAAUCGCUAGUAACGGUAGGUCAGCACACUACCGUGAAUACGUUCCCGGGUCUUGUACACACCG
Molecule: ribosomal RNA, 424 nt
Filed under: uncultured bacterium
Lineage: Bacteria
Description: bacterial SSU rRNA
Rfam family: Bacterial small subunit ribosomal RNA
Source: RNAcentral